Molecule: ribosomal RNA, 394 nt
Filed under: uncultured eukaryote
Lineage: Eukaryota
Description: partial 18S ribosomal RNA
Rfam family: Eukaryotic small subunit ribosomal RNA
Source: RNAcentral
CAAUAGCGUAUAUUAAAGUUGUUGCAGUUAAAAAGCUCGUAGUUGGAUUUCUGCUGAGAACGCCUGGUCCGCUCUUAAUAGAGUGUGCACUGGGUUUAAACGGUUUCAGCAUCUUUCUGGGUAGUACUGUCCACUUGUAUCUUACGGUAUGGGUGGGUAUAUCCAGGACUUUUACUGUGAACAAAUUAGAGUGUUUCAAGCAGGCUAUUGCCUUGAAUACUGCAGCAUGGAAUAAUAAGAUAGGAUUUCGGUUCUAUUUUGUUGGUUUCUAGGACUGAAGUAACGAUUAAUAGGGACAGUUGGGGGCAUUCGUACUUAACUGCUAGAGGUGAAAUUCUUAGAUUUGUUAAAGACGAACUACUGCGAAAGCAUUUGCCAAGGAUGUUUNCGUUAA